CCGGCGAUUUCCGAAUGGGGAAACCCAGUGUGUUUCGACACACUAUCAUUAACUGAAUCCAUAGGUUAAUGAGGCGAACCGGGGGAACUGAAACAUCUAAGUACCCCGAGGAAAAGAAAUCAACCGAGAUUCCCCCAGUAGCGGCGAGCGAACGGGGAGGAGCCCAGAGCCUGAAUCAGUGUGUGUGUUAGUGGAAGCGUCUGGAAAGGCGCGCGAUACAGGGUGACAGCCCCGUACACAAAAAUGCACAUACUGUGAGCUCGAUGAGUAGGGCGGGACACGUGGUAUCCUGUCUGAAUAUGGGGGGACCAUCCUCCAAGGCUAAAUACUCCUGACUGACCGAUAGUGAACCAGUACCGUGAGGGAAAGGCGAAAAGAACCCCGGCGAGGGGAGUGAAAAAGAACCUGAAACCGUGUACGUACAAGCAGUGGGAGCCUCUUUUAUGGGGUGACUGCGUACCUUUUGUAUAAUGGGUCAGCGACUUAUAUUCUGUAGCAAGGUUAACCGAAUAGGGGAGCCGAAGGGAAACCGAGUCUUAACUGGGCGUUAAGUUGCAGGGUAUAGACCCGAAACCCGGUGAUCUAGCCAUGGGCAGGUUGAAGGUUGGGUAACACUAACUGGAGGACCGAACCGACUAAUGUUGAAAAAUUAGCGGAUGACUUGUGGCUGGGGGUGAAAGGCCAAUCAAACCGGGAGAUAGCUGGUUCUCCCCGAAAGCUAUUUAGGUAGCGCCUCGUGAAUUCAUCUCCGGGGGUAGAGCACUGUUUCGGCAAGGGGGUCAUCCCGACUUACCAACCCGAUGCAAACUGCGAAUACCGGAGAAUGUUAUCACGGGAGACACACGGCGGGUGCUAACGUCCGUCGUGAAGAGGGAAACAACCCAGACCGCCAGCUAAGGUCCCAAAGUCAUGGUUAAGUGGGAAACGAUGUGGGAAGGCCCAGACAGCCAGGAUGUUGGCUUAGAAGCAGCCAUCAUUUAAAGAAAGCGUAAUAGCUCACUGGUCGAGUCGGCCUGCGCGGAAGAUGUAACGGGGCUAAACCAUGCACCGAAGCUGCGGCAGCGACGCUUAUGCGUUGUUGGGUA
RNAcentral lists this ribosomal RNA (1085 nucleotides) under Escherichia coli. RNAcentral describes it as "partial 23S ribosomal RNA". It matches the Rfam family "Bacterial large subunit ribosomal RNA", at positions 104 to 1230 of the family's 2925-position model. Lineage: Bacteria; Pseudomonadati; Pseudomonadota; Gammaproteobacteria; Enterobacterales; Enterobacteriaceae. The record is from RNAcentral.